GGGGACGCAAGGGUUCGACAGGGAAAGUUGAUCCCGGUUGGCAGGUCGAGGUCGCCAGAUCCUCGUAAAUCUCCUGGCACUUUAAGCUUAACUGGCGACAACCAGUACGCUCUCGCCGCCUAACUAUUAGGUAGUGACGUUGGACGCAGGCCUCACCCCGAUGGGCAGCGCUCCAGCGACGCAAUGUCGGGGUGCUGUCUCCUUGACGCCGAUAGCGGAGACAAAAGACAAUCGGCUUGGCCCGGCGGUUACGCGGCCGCCAGCGGUACGCCGGGCGAGAUUUAAGAGACGGCUAAGCCUGUAGAAGCCCGGGUGGGUUUUCCUCUGGACGAGGGGUUCGAUUCCCCUCCGUCUCCACCA
RNAcentral lists this transfer-messenger RNA (360 nucleotides) under Dehalococcoidia. RNAcentral describes it as "CF-162 sp022561635 Standard tmRNA". It matches the Rfam family "transfer-messenger RNA". From Rfam's summary of the family: Bacterial tmRNA, also known as 10Sa RNA or SsrA, is named for its dual tRNA and mRNA-like properties. Its role is to liberate the mRNA from a stalled ribosome. Lineage: Bacteria; Bacillati; Chloroflexota. RNAcentral also lists the same sequence under 2 other names. The record is from RNAcentral.